UACCCUCGCGCACGAUGUCGUACGGGAUGGGCGUCAAGAUCUCCGUCUUGACGUUCUCCAGGGUGAACCCCGCGCGCGGGCCCGGGAUGGUGCGCUUCGUCUCGGGGGCCUUCUCGCCCUUCGCGUGCGCCGCCGCGUGCGCCGCGUCGUUCGCCGCGCGACGCUCGAGGAACUCCUCGCGGCACCUGGAGUGCACGACGUGCUCGACGCGCACGUGGAUGCGCUUCCUAGCGACCCG
RNAcentral lists this long non-coding RNA (238 nucleotides) under Micromonas pusilla. Its description in RNAcentral is "long non-coding RNA (MPUS_LNC000156)". Lineage: Eukaryota; Viridiplantae; Chlorophyta; Mamiellophyceae; Mamiellales; Mamiellaceae. The record is from RNAcentral.